This 4355-nucleotide small RNA is filed under the name Pan troglodytes (chimpanzee). RNAcentral's name for it is "retained intron". Lineage: Eukaryota; Metazoa; Chordata; Mammalia; Primates; Hominidae. The record is from RNAcentral.
AAGUCAAUGGCACCGACACAUUGUGGGGAGAAACAGCCCUGACUGCCGCCGCAGGAAGAGGGAAGCUGGAGGUCUGUGAGCUGCUGCUGGGGCAUGGAGCUGCUGUGUCGCGGACAAACAGGAGAGGGGUUCCACCUUUGUUUUGUGCAGCACGCCAGGGGCAUUGGCAGAUUGUUAGACUGCUGUUGGAACGCGGCUGUGAUGUGAACCUAAGUGACAAGCAAGGCCGGACGCCCCUCAUGGUGGCUGCUUGUGAAGGGCACUUGAGCACCGUGGAAUUCCUCCUUUCAAAAGGUAGCAGCGUGAUGCCCUCAAAGGUUUCUUUUGGACGGACACAGAGAGAACUUUAGCAGACCCAUUCAGUGCUUUCUGAUUCAAAUUCUAAGUUUUCUGUUAAUGGAAAUUUUCUAAUAAACAGUAGAGAGAAUAGGCAACACAGCCACAUGCCUGGUAUUCCUCUUCAGCAGCGAUGACCAUUCUGCCAGCCCAUCCGGCCAGUGUCACCCUUCACAGUGCUUGACUGACACUUGGUUCAGGCCAGGUGUUCCGCAGGUGUGAAAUGAUUUGCUUUCUGGCUUUGUCAUCUCAUAAUGUUCAUGUUCUGUGAAUGGGCUUUCCUUUCAGGUGCAGCCCUUUCUUCUCUAGACAAAGAGGGUCUGUCAGCAUUAAGCUGGGCUUGUCUGAAAGGUCACAGGGCAGUGGUCCAGUAUCUGGUUGAAGAAGGAGCUGCAAUAGACCAGACAGACAAGAAUGGCCGCACACCCUUGGACCUGGCUGCCUUCUAUGGCGAUGCCGAGAUUGUGCUGUACCUGGUGGAGAAGGGAGCCGUGAUCGAGCAUGUGGACCACAGCGGGAUGCGGCCCUUGGACAGAGCCAUCGGCUGCCGGAACACAUCUGUAGUGGUGGCGCUACUCAGAAAGGGAGCCAAGUUAGGAAAUGCUGCUUGGGCGAUGGCCACUUCCAAACCUGAUAUCUUGAUUAUACUUUUACAGAAAUUAAUGGAGGAAGGAAAUGUGAUGUACAAAAAAGGGAAAAUGAAAGAGGCAGCCCAGAGGUACCAGUAUGCCUUAAGAAAGUUUCCUCGAGAAGGAUUCGGAGAGGACAUGAGACCCUUCAAUGAAUUAAGGGUUUCCCUCUAUCUCAAUUUGUCGCGAUGCCGAAGAAAAACAAAUGACUUUGGCAUGGCAGAGGAAUUUGCUUCCAAGGCUCUCGAAUUGAAGCCCAAGUCCUAUGAAGCCUUUUAUGCCAGAGCAAGAGCGAAGAGAAAUAGCAGGCAAUUCGUGGCAGCUCUGGCUGACCUGCAAGAGGCUGUGAAACUCUGUCCCACCAAUCAGGAAAUCAAGAGGCUUCUGGCCCGCGUAGAAGAGGAGUGCAAACAACUCCAGAGGAGUCAACAGCAAAAACAGCAGGGCCCGCUACCAGCCCCACCCAACGACUCCGAGAACGAAGAGGACACCCCAACCCCUGGCUUAAGUGACCACUUUCAGUCUGAGGAGACUGAAGAGGAAGAAACUUCUCCCCAGGAAGAAUCUGUUUCCCCAACUCCCAGGUCCCAGCCAUCCUCAUCUGUCCCUUCCUCAUACAUCCGAAACCUUCAAGAAGGGUUACAGUCCAAAGGAAGGCCAGUAUCGCCACAGAGCAGGGCAGGAAUCGGCAAGUCCCUGAGAGAGCCUGUGGCCCAGCCAGGGCUGGUCCUGCAGCCCUCCAAGCAGGCCCAGAUCGUGAAAACCAGCCAGCACCUGGGCUCUGGCCAGUCGGCAGUGAGAAAUGGCAGUAUGAAAGUUCAGAUCUCUUCUCAGAACCCUCCUCCAAGUCCCAUGCCAGGGAGAAUCGCUGCCGCUCCUGCUGGGAGCAGAACCCAGCAUUUAGAGGGAACAGGUACUUUCACUACAAGAGCUGGUUGUGGCCACUUUGGGGAUCGGCUGGGCCCCAGCCAGAAUGUCCGCCUGCAGUGCGGUGAGAAUGGCCCUGCACACCCUUUACCAAGUAAGACGAAAACCACAGAGAGGCUUCUGUCUCAUUCCUCCGUGGCUGUGGACGCAGCCCCUCCAAACCAAGGUGGGCUGGCGACCUGCAGCGACCUGCGACACCCAGCUUCCCUCACCAGCUCAGGCUCUUCUGGUUCUCCAUCCAGCAGCAUAAAGAUGUCAAGUUCAACCAGUAGUUUGACUUCGAGCAGCAGUUUUUCAGAUGGCUUCAAGGUCCAAGGACCAGAUACUCGAAUUAAAGACAAGGUUGUAACCCACGUUCAGAGCGGUACAGCUGAGCACAGACCCCGCAACACGCCGUUCAUGGGCAUCAUGGAUAAGACUGCGAGGUUCCAACAGCAGAGCAAUCCUCCAAGCCGCACCUGGCACUGUCCGGCGCCAGAGGGGCUGCUGACAAACACGUCUUCUGCAGCUGGCCUGCAGUCUGCUAACACUGAGAAGCCCUCUCUCAUGCAAGUGGGAGGAUAUAAUCACCAAGCCAAAACCUGUUCUGUUUCUACCCUGAGUGCAAGUGUCCACAAUGGGGCACAAGUGAAGGAGCUAGAAGAAAGCAAGUGCCAAAUUCCAGUUCACUCUCAAGAGAACAGGAUAACUAAGACUGUUUCUCAUCUGUACCAGGAAAGUAUCUCCAAACAGCAGCCUCAUAUUAGUAAUGAAGCCCACAGGAGCCACCUCACUGCAGCCAAACCAAAGCGAUCAUUUAUAGAGUCAAAUGUGUGAACCUUAAGAAAGCCCCAUUUGUGGAAUUUGGAAACGUGUGUUGACUCCUGGUGGUAAAUUAAAUAGUUUUUUUCAUCAUAAAAAUUAUUUUUUAGCCAUUUUUUUUCUUUGGGGUGGAUCUGAUGCCAUUGAUAUAUCUAAAAUGUGGGAUAAAACUUCUUUAAUAGCUAGAAAUCACCAUAAAUAAGAAUGCUAAACAGAAUUGAAAAUUAUAUCAACUUAAAAUUUUAAGACAGCCCAGAAGACAUUAAUGACUCUCACUUAUGAAAUUGUUUGGCUUUUGCCACUUUCCUCCUUGCCUUUGCUAUAUGGUAGAAUCACAGAACUUACUUAGAGAAUAAAUAUGUCUAUUGUUCAAGAGUGACAGGUUUAACUCAUGACCAAGUGAUGUACAUCCAAGUGAUGUAUUCUGGAAACGAUGGAAUUUUACAGUUACAGUUCCAUUGAGUCAAAUCCCAUUUUAUAUAUACAUAAAAAUUAAGUUCUGAGUGAGUUCUAGCUAAAUAUAAGUGUGACUGUAAAUGCAGCCAUUUUUUUUAAGCAGAAUAUGAGAACACCUAAGUAUUCCCUUCAUAGCAGUUCCUAUAAAGGGAUUAAACACUUAUUUCUGUGUUCUGGUUCUUAUUCAUAUAUUUUUAUAGCACCUUUUUUUGGAACCUAUAUUUGUGCUUGAAGGUGUUUUUGAUAUUUGGAAACAGUAUAAGCCAUUUGGAGUCAUGAUUGGUGGUCAAGUGGAUUCAAGCUAAAAUACUAAGACCAGCAUUCUUAGUGGCGCUUAUAAAUUAGCUCUCACCUGGUUUCCAAACUGCUUUUAACAAUGGUAGUGCUCCUGGAACAAUCCUUCCAAGCUCCUCUAAGGACAAUAUUUAAUUCAGAUACUAAAGGUAAGACUGGUUGUUACUUUUGUUUUGUUGUACAAUUAGUACUUUAUAGUCACAUGUUGUAUAUAUUAAAUAGCCCAGUUUUAUUCAGACUUGUAAAUAGAACUAUUUCAAUGUAGUUAAUCUAAAAACAAAAAAGAAAACCCCAGUCAUGAUUUGCAUGUUCUCUGUAAGCUUCAUCGAUGCUGGUUAUUGCACUGAAUGAUAUAUUAUUAUGGCAUGUUAACAGUAUACCAGUAACAGCACUUUAUCUCAUUUAUAUGAACACCUUUGAGGUGCUACUUAAGUCCAAGCUCUGAUGUAUUAUUCAUUUGUAAAGAUAAGGUACAGGAAUGAACCUUGGUUUAAAGGUAUUUUUAUAUGAAAAUGGUGUGUUAUUGGAAGAUGUUAAAAUGCUAAUUUGAGAGAAGUAGGAGUGUAUCUGUUUUAUAUGUUGGGAUGUGAAAUUUAUUUUCUAAAAUUGAGGAGAAGGAAGUUAUAUAUUUGUAGAAUGUUUUAAAGUGAAUUGUUGUAAUGAAGUUCCUGUGAACAUCAUUAUGGUUUUGUACAAAUAGGAACCUCUGAUGUCAUUCUUCAACGUUUGUUCCUGUGUGUACAAUUGUACUUUGUAUGAACAGCUUUAUCAUUUUUAUAGGCUUUCCAUGAGUUUUGCUGUAACUACUAUGGCUUAUUUAUUUUCUUUAAUAUUUGUGAAAGUCUUACUCCUUUGUUAGUUUUGUUUCUGCACAACUACUGUACUUUUCCAUAUGGAAUAAAGACUAUUAAU